This 253-nucleotide ribosomal RNA is filed under the name uncultured bacterium. RNAcentral's name for it is "partial 16S ribosomal RNA". It matches the Rfam family "Bacterial small subunit ribosomal RNA", at positions 524 to 776 of the family's 1533-position model. The record is from RNAcentral.
UACGUAGGGUGCGAGCGUUGUCCGGAAUUAUUGGGCGUAAAGAGCUCGUAGGCGGUUUGUCGCGUCGGCCGUGAAAACUUGGGGCUUAACCCCAAGCCUGCGGUCGAUACGGGCAGACUUGAGUUCGGCAGGGGAGACUGGAAUUCCUGGUGUAGCGGUGAAAUGCGCAGAUAUCAGGAGGAACACCGGUGGCGAAGGCGGGUCUCUGGGCCGAUACUGACGCUGAGGCGCGAAAGCGUGGGGAGCAAACGGG